This 1592-nucleotide small RNA is filed under the name Caenorhabditis elegans. RNAcentral's name for it is "Unclassified non-coding RNA F56B3.16". The record is from RNAcentral. Lineage: Eukaryota; Metazoa; Nematoda; Chromadorea; Rhabditida; Rhabditidae.
AUUUGAUCUCCCAGAAGACUCAAAACGACUAACAUCAGAAGACGCGAUGGCUUCACGUGCUGAAAGAUUCGGAAUCACUCCAAAAACGCCUGCCACAGAUGAUAAGCUGGCCGCCCGUGCCGCCCGUUUUGGAAUUCCAGUUGGUGGAGCAGCUUCAGCUUCAAAAAAUGCUCCAAAUUCUGAGGUAAAAGCUGCAAAAUUGGAUAUACAGAUGCAGAAAAGGAACUGAUCGGAGCAUUGUAUUUGCAAGAUGAAUCUGACCUUUUUUCAACUUUUUUUUUUGGUUUUUUCGAGAAAGUGGAAGAAUUUUCAUUUUUAACUUUAUUUUAUCCUUUCUGAAAAAGAAAUGAAAAAUUUGAUUUUAAUCUGAACGAGUUAUUAUUCCACGUGUUCAAAAAAAAAACGAACAAAAAAAAAGAAAAAAAAGUGGCGCGGUCUUGCCGAUGCACAGUCAUCUCUCAAAAGUUCAAAAGUAUCUUAACCCUCUCAAAAAAAAUUAUUGCGCAUCCUUGAUUUGAAGUGAACACGCCGAUCCAAAGGGCAUUGUCAAGUUGAGCGCUAUUUUUGACAAAUAUCUAGAGAACCGAAAACAGGGACGACUUUGCAGAUAUUGAUGUAAGAAUUCCAAAUAUGAAUUUAUUAUUUGUUCAAAAAUCAUUGAAAUUUUUCAAACUGAAAAAGGGCGCGGUUUCAGUUGAGAUCAAGAAGCAAACAGUUACAGUUGUUACAAUUACGUCAUUUUAGUUGUUUAAAUGAUUCACUCAUUACAUCAAAUCUUGUAUGUUACAAUAUAUCUACAUAUAUCUCUCUCAUCCUCCCUCUUUAUUCAUGUCAUCAUCUCAAACUGUCAUCCGUCUCCAGUGUUCAAUCGAUAUUUCUCGCUUUCCCCUUAUACGGAUCCUUGCUGCGCUUCUCCUUUCUCUCUACUUUCUCCUUCUAAUGUAGGCCAAUUGUCGCCAAAGACCCAAGUUCGCGAGUGAAGACAUAGUAGAAGAGGCCAAAAAUAUGUUACCAAUUCGAAAUUUUAUUCAUUUUUCUGGUUUAAUACUACUGAUGUUUUAUCUGGUAGAUGCGCAGUUUUCUCCUUGUAAUGGUAAGGUUUUUUUUGUGAUUUUUUCUGUAGGAAUUUUAGUUUUACACUCCAACAAUUUUAAGAUUUCUUUAAAAAUUCAAAAACUUUAGCCCAAGUUUCCGUAAAUUGCCAAAUUUUUUCGAAUCUUGAUUAUAAACAUUUGGAAUACAAUUAAAGUAUGAAAAGUCGUAAAAAUUAAUUUUGUUAGAUUUUCAAAAUAUUGAUAGGCUAUAACCAAAUUUAGCCCCUUUUUGGUUGGAAAUUAAACGUUUUAAAAUUAAAAAAAAACAAACAUCUUUAAUUUUCAGGAAAAUCCGCUCUCAACGGAGUCUGCGAUAUAAAUGGAGAUUGUGAGAAUAAAGGAUCGAUUUGUUUGAGAGGAAAAUGCAGGUAAAUUAGUUGUUUUGAAAUACAUUUUAUGAUAAGGUAAGAUUAAAAAUAAACUUUAUUAUUUUAGAUGCCACCCUCACUACACGGAAACUAGAGAUGAGAAGGGGCGUCUUCCAAAAUGUGCACCACG